This 253-nucleotide ribosomal RNA is filed under the name uncultured bacterium. RNAcentral describes it as "partial 16S ribosomal RNA". It matches the Rfam family "Bacterial small subunit ribosomal RNA", at positions 524 to 776 of the family's 1533-position model. The record is from RNAcentral.
UACAGAGGGUGCAAGCGUUAAUCGGAAUUACUGGGCGUAAAGGGCGCGUAGGUGGUUUAUUAAGUCAGAUGUGAAAUACCUGGGCUUAACCUAGGAAUUGCAUUUGAAACUAAUUGGCUAGAGUAUGGGAGAGGGAAGUGGAAUUUCCGGUGUAGCGGUGAAAUGCGUAGAUAUCGGAAGGAACACCAACGGCGAAAGCACUCUGCUGGGCCGACACUGACACUGAGAGACGAAAGCUAGGGGAGCGAAUGGG